This 444-nucleotide ribosomal RNA is filed under the name uncultured bacterium. Its description in RNAcentral is "bacterial SSU rRNA". It matches the Rfam family "Bacterial small subunit ribosomal RNA", at positions 354 to 796 of the family's 1533-position model. The record is from RNAcentral.
GUAGGGAAUAUUGGACAAUGGGUGAGAGCCUGAUCCAGCCAUGCCGCGUGCAGGAAGAAGGCCUUCUGGGUUGUAAACUGCUUUUAUCUGGGGAUAAAAAGGCCUUGCGAGGCAAACUGAAGGUACCAGAUGAAUAAGCCACGGCUAACUACGUGCCAGCAGCCGCGGUAAUACGUAGGUGGCAAGCGUUGUCCGGAUUUAUUGGGUUUAAAGGGUGCGUAGGCGGUUCUAUAAGUCAGUGGUGAAAUACGGCAGCUUAACUGUCGAGGUGCCAUUGAUACUGUAGGACUUGAGUACAGACGAGGUAGGCGGAAUUGACGGUGUAGCGGUGAAAUGCUUAGAUAUCGUCAAGAACACCGAUAGCGAAGGCAGCUUACUAGACUGUAACUGACGCUGAGGCACGAAAGUGUGGGGAUCAAACAGGAUUAGAAACCCUUGUAGUCC